RNAcentral lists this ribosomal RNA (685 nucleotides) under uncultured bacterium. Its description in RNAcentral is "bacterial SSU rRNA". It matches the Rfam family "Bacterial small subunit ribosomal RNA", at positions 9 to 689 of the family's 1533-position model. The record is from RNAcentral.
GAGUUUGAUCCUGGCUCAGGAUGAACGCUAGCGGCAGGCCUAACACAUGCAAGUCGAGGGGCAGCAUAGAUUGCUUGCAAUCUGAUGGCGACCGGCGUACGGGUGCGUAACGCGUAUACAAUCUACCUUUUACUGAGGGAUAGCCCAGAGAAAUUUGGAUUAAUACCUCAUAGUAUUAUUAAGGGGCAUCUUUUAAUAAUUAAAGGUUACGGUAAGAGAUGAGUAUGCGUCCUAUUAGCUAGAUGGUGUGGUAACGGCACACCAUGGCGACGAUAGGUAGGGGCCCUGAGAGGGGGAUCCCCCACACUGGUACUGAGACACGGACCAGACUCCUACGGGAGGCAGCAGUGAGGAAUAUUGGACAAUGGUCGGAAGACUGAUCCAGCCAUGCCGCGUGCAGGAAGACUGCCCUAUGGGUUGUAAACUGCUUUUAUACAGGAAGAAACGCUUCUACGUGUAGAGGCUUGACGGUACUGUAAGAAUAAGCAUCGGCUAACUCCGUGCCAGCAGCCGCGGUAAUACGGAGGAUGCAAGCGUUAUCCGGAAUCAUUGGGUUUAAAGGGUCCGUAGGUGGAUAAUUAAGUCAGAGGUGAAAUCCUGCAGCUCAACUGUAGAACUGCCUUUGAUACUGGUUAUCUUGAGUCAUUAUGAAGUGGUUAGAAUGUGUAGUGUAGCGGUGAAAUGC